RNAcentral lists this ribosomal RNA (1053 nucleotides) under Triticum aestivum (bread wheat). RNAcentral's name for it is "partial small subunit ribosomal RNA". Lineage: Eukaryota; Viridiplantae; Streptophyta; Magnoliopsida; Poales; Poaceae. The record is from RNAcentral.
AUGAAGGGGAUGCCUCAAGUUGGCAUGUUCUUUGAAAGUUCAGAGGAGGCUUGGCUGUUUUGGAGAGCAUAUGGUGGUCGUGUUGGCUUUGAUGUGAGGAAAAGGUACAACAAUGUGAGCAAAUUUGAUGGUAAGGUAACCUCUUGCAGAUUUGUUUGUGCCAAUGAAGGUCAUCGCAAAAAGGGGCAAAGAGAAUUCAUUCAGAAGUGCUUUAGAGCUCAAACAAGAACUGAUUGCAAAGCUCGGAUGAGUCUUACAUUGGAUCAAGAGUCCGAAAACUUGGAAAUCACUGAUGUAGUUCUUGAACAUAAUCACCUCCUUCACUUGCCACAAACCCGCCACCUGAUGGCUUCCCAAAGGAAAAUUUCAGAAUUUCAAGCUUUUGAAAUCGAAGCCGCGGAUGAUUCUGGAAUUAGGCCUCAAGCUGCAUAUGAGCUUGCUACUCGUCAAGUUGGUGGACCACUUAAUCUCGGAUACACUCCUCGUGAUCACAGAAAUCAUUUGCAAAGCAAGAGGCAGAGGGAGUUGGCUUUUGGUCAGGCGGGCAGCAUGUUAAAGUAUUUUCAAGACAAAAUUGUUGAAAAUCCAUCAUUUCAAUAUGCUUUGCAACUAGAUUGUGAGGAGAAUAUAUCAAACAUUUUCUGGGCUGAUGCUAAAAUGAUGUUAGACUAUGCACACUUUGGCGAUGUUGUCACAUUUGACACUACUUUUGGCACAAACAAGGAAUAUAGGCCAUUUGGUGUUUUUCUUGGGCUCAAUCAGUUUAGGGAGACUAAAGUUUUUGGUGCUGCACUGAUGUUUGACGAAACAUUAGCCUCAUUCAAAUGGCUCUUUAAAACUUUCCUAGGUGCGCAUAAUGGAAGACAACCAAGAACUAUUUAUACCGAUCAAGAUUAUGCAAUGGGUAGAGCUGUAGAGGAUGUGUUCACAGAAGCAUAUCAUGGACUGUGUACAUUUCAUAUAAUGCAAAAUGCUGUCAAACAUCUAUCUCCGAUUAAGGGUGAAGACGAAGAUGAGGGUGAAGAGAAAGAGGAGGGUGAAGACAAAGAUUAA